GAUGAACGCUGGCGGCGUGCCUAAUACAUGCCAGUCGAGCGAACAGACGAGGAGCUUGCUCCUCUGACGUUAGCGGCGGACGGGCGAGUAACACGUGGAUAACCUACCUAUAAGACUGGGAUAACUUCGGGAAACCGGAGCUAAUACCGGAUAAUAUAUUGAACCGCAUGGUUCAAUAGUGAAAGACGGUUUUGCUGUCACUUAUAGAUGGAUCCGCGCCGCAUUAGCUAGUUGGUAAGGUAACGGCUUACCAAGGCAACGAUGCGUAGCCGACCUGAGAGGGUGAUCGGCCACACUGGAACUGAGACACGGUCCAGACUCCUACGGGAGGCAGCAGUAGGGAAUCUUACGCAAUGGGCGAAAGCCUGACGGAGCAACGCCGCGUGAGUGAUGAAGGUCUUCGGAUCGUAAAACUCUGUUAUUAGGGAAGAACAAAUGUGUAAGUAACUAUGCACGUCUUGACGGUACCUAAUCAGAAAGCCACGGCUAACUACGUG
RNAcentral lists this ribosomal RNA (497 nucleotides) under uncultured bacterium. RNAcentral's name for it is "partial 16S ribosomal RNA". It matches the Rfam family "Bacterial small subunit ribosomal RNA", at positions 28 to 507 of the family's 1533-position model. The record is from RNAcentral.